UACAGAGGAGCCAAGCGUUGUCCGGAUUGACUGGGCGUAAAGCGCACGCAGGCGGCACCGCGCGUGGGGUGUGAAAUCUGGCCGCUUAACGGCCAGGCGCCAUCCCAUACGGCGGAGCUGGAGUGAUGCAGAGGUCGGUGGAAUUGCCGGUGUAGUGGUGAAAUUCGUAGAUAUCGGGAGGAACACCAGUGGCGGAAGGCG
RNAcentral lists this ribosomal RNA (201 nucleotides) under uncultured bacterium. RNAcentral's name for it is "partial 16S ribosomal RNA". It matches the Rfam family "Bacterial small subunit ribosomal RNA", at positions 524 to 723 of the family's 1533-position model. The record is from RNAcentral.